UUGAACGCUGGCGGCAUGCCUUACACAUGCAAGUCGAACGGUAGAGGAGCAAUCCUCGAGAGUGGCGAACGGGUGAGUAAUGUAUCGGAACGUGCCCAGUAGUGGGGGAUAGCCCGGCGAAAGCCGGAUUAAUACCGCAUGAGACCUGAGGGUGAAAGCGGGGGACUCGCAAGAGCCUCGCGCUACUGGAGCGGCCGAUAUCAGAUUAGGUAGUUGGUGGGGUAAAGGCCUACCAAGCCUGCGAUCUGUAGCUGGUCUGAGAGGACGACCAGCCACACUGGGACUGAGACCCGGCCCAGGCUCCUACGGGAGGCAGCAGUGGGGAAUUUUGGACAAUGGGCGAAAGCCUGAUCCAGCCAUGCCGCGUGAGUGAAGAAGGCCUUCGGGUUGUAAAGCUCUUUCAGCAGGAACGAAACGGUCGGCUUUAAUAAAGUCGGCUAAUGACGGUACCUGCAGAAGAAGCACCGGCUAACUACGU
This 478-nucleotide ribosomal RNA is filed under the name uncultured bacterium. RNAcentral describes it as "bacterial SSU rRNA". It matches the Rfam family "Bacterial small subunit ribosomal RNA", at positions 29 to 506 of the family's 1533-position model. The record is from RNAcentral.